GAUGAACGCUGGCGGCGUGCCUAAUACAUGCAAGUCGAGCGAACAGAUGGGGCGCUUGCUCCUCUGACGUUAGCGGCGGACGUGUGAGUAACACGUGGAUAACCUACCUAUAAGACUGGGAUAACUUCGGGAAACCGGAGCUAAUACCGGAUAAUAUCUUGAACCGCAUGGUUCAUUAGUGAAAGACGGUUUUGCUGUCACUUAUAGAUGGAUCCGCGCCGCAUUAGCUAGUUGGUCAGGUAACGGCUUACCAAGGUAACGAUGCGUAGCCGACCUGAGAGGGGGAUAGGCGACACGGGAAGGGAGACACGGUCCAGAGUACUAAGGGAGGCAGCAGUAGGGAAUCUGCGGCAAUGGGCGAAAACCUGACGGAGCGACGCCGCGUGAGAGAUGAAGGUGUUCGGAUCGUAAAACUCUGUUAUGAGGGAAGAACAAAUGUGGAAGGAACUAUGCACGUAUUGACGGUACCGGAUCAGAAAGCCACGGCUAACUACGUG
This 497-nucleotide ribosomal RNA is filed under the name uncultured bacterium. Its description in RNAcentral is "partial 16S ribosomal RNA". It matches the Rfam family "Bacterial small subunit ribosomal RNA", at positions 28 to 507 of the family's 1533-position model. The record is from RNAcentral.